RNAcentral lists this non-coding RNA (320 nucleotides) under Ipomoea nil (Japanese morning glory). Its description in RNAcentral is "Eukaryotic large subunit ribosomal RNA". It matches the Rfam family "Eukaryotic large subunit ribosomal RNA", at positions 3077 to 3401 of the family's 3401-position model. The record is from Rfam by way of RNAcentral. Lineage: Eukaryota; Viridiplantae; Streptophyta; Magnoliopsida; Solanales; Convolvulaceae.
UUGAAAAGCCAGUGGCGCGAAGCUACCGUGCGUUGGAUUAUGACUGAACGCCUCUAAGUCAGAAUCCGGGCUAGACCGACGCAUGCGCUCGUCGCCCGUUUGCCGACCCGCAGUAGGGGCCAUUUGGCCCCCAAGGGCACGUGUCGUUGGCUAAGCCGUCGUGGCGGAAGGGUCACGGUGGCCGCCUUGAAUUACAAUUCCGAUCGAGCGGCGAGCUGAAUCCUUUGCAGACGACUUAAAUACGCGACGGGGUAUUGUAAGGGGUAGAGUGGCCUUGCUGCCGAUCCUCUGAGAUUCAGCCCUUUGUCGCUCCGAUUCGU